RNAcentral lists this ribosomal RNA (463 nucleotides) under uncultured bacterium. RNAcentral's name for it is "SSU rRNA". It matches the Rfam family "Bacterial small subunit ribosomal RNA", at positions 26 to 518 of the family's 1533-position model. The record is from RNAcentral.
AGGAUUAACGCUGGCGGCGUGCCUGACACAUGCAAGUCGAACGAGGCCGCAAGGCCGAGUGGCGGACGGGUGAGUAACACGUGACCAACCAACCUCGAAGUUGGGAAUAGCUCUGCGAAAGUAGGGGUAAUACCGAAUGUGGCCCAGGGCGGGCAUCCGCCUUGGUCUAAAGAUUCAUCGCUUCGAGACGGGGUCGCGGCCUAUUAGCUUGUUGGUGAGGUAACGGCUCACCAAGGCGAUGAUGGGUAGCUGGUCUGAGAGGCCGACCAGCCACACUGGGACUGAGACACGGCCCAGACUCCUACGGGAGGCAGCAGUGAGGAAUCUUCCGCAAUGGGCGAAAGCCUGACGGAGCAACGCCGCGUGUGGGAUGAAGACUCUAGGGUUGUAAACCACUGUCGGAGGGGACGAUCGUGACGGUACCCUCCAAGAAAGCCCCGGCUAACUACGCGCCAGCAGCCGC